RNAcentral lists this ribosomal RNA (460 nucleotides) under uncultured bacterium. RNAcentral's name for it is "partial 16S ribosomal RNA". It matches the Rfam family "Bacterial small subunit ribosomal RNA", at positions 338 to 795 of the family's 1533-position model. The record is from RNAcentral.
CCUACGGGAGGCAGCAGUGAGGAAUCUUGGUCAAUGGACGCAAGUCUGAACCAGCCAUGCAGCGUGCAGGAAGACGGCUCUAUGAGUUGUAAACUGCUUUUGUACGAGGGUAAACGCAGAUACGCGUAUCUGUCUGAAAGUAUCGUACGAAUAAGGAUCGGCUAAAUCCGAGCCAGCAGCCGCGGUAAUACGGAGGAUUCAAGCGUUAUCCGGAUUUAUUGGGGUUAAAGGGUGCGUAGGCGGUCUGCUAAGCUAGAUGUGAAAUCCCCAGGCUCAACUUCGGAAUUGCCUCUGAUACUGGUCGGCUAGAGAGUAGUGGCGGUAGGCGGAAUUUAUGGUGUAGCGGUGAAAUGCUUAGAGAUCAUACAGAACACCGAUUGCGAAGGCAGCUUACCAAGCUACUUCUGACGUUGAGGCACGAAAGCGUGGGGAGCAAACAGGAUUAGAUACCCUUGUAGUC